UUCUUUUGGAGGUCUUGAAUUGUUAUCGAGUUUUCUUCUCUUGUUCCAAACCUUUUGAGUAUAUUGUUUAAAUUAUAAACUUUUGCUAGCUCAGAUUUUCUUUCUUCAUUUAGUAAUUAUUUAAGUUUCAGAAUAUACUUUUUUUUAGUUUUGGAUCAUUAAUUUUAUCUAUAAAGUUUAAUAACAGGUUUUGUUCUCUCGUUAUCAUGCAUAUUUCAUUGAUGUUUGAUUGAUCUGAGUUACUGCUUACCAACUUGAUUUCUUCUGACUCAGAUUCCUCAGAGCUUGAGUUCAACAGUAAUAUUAUUAAUUAGCUUUUUAUUAAGUUUAUCAGGUCCAACUCAUCAAUUUCUAUUUCAUUUAUUUUUGUCUUUAACUUAUAUUUGUUGCUAUAGUGUUUAAUUUUACCGCACUUGAGCUUCUUUCUUAUUGAGUAAGACUUAGGCCUCUUGGUUUGAUAUUGUAUUGCAUUUAAUUUGGAAUAGUUUCCAAAUCAUUCUCUUUUAGUUGAUCUUUUUUUUUUUUUGACAUGUCUUGC
RNAcentral lists this long non-coding RNA (538 nucleotides) under Elaeis guineensis (African oil palm). RNAcentral's name for it is "long non-coding RNA (EGUI_LNC028749)". The record is from RNAcentral. Lineage: Eukaryota; Viridiplantae; Streptophyta; Magnoliopsida; Arecales; Arecaceae.